AUUGAACGCUGGCGGCAGGCCUAACACAUGCAAGUCGAGCGGAUGAAGGGAGCUUGCUCCUGGAUUCAGCGGCGGACGGGUGAGUAAUGCCUAGGAAUCUGCCUGGUAGUGGGGGAUAACGUCCGGAAACGGGCGCUAAUACCGCAUACGUCCUGAGGGAGAAAGUGGGGGAUCUUCGGGCCUCACGCUCUCAGAUGAGCCUAGGUCGGAUUAGCUAGUUGGUGGGGUAAAGGCCUACCAAGGCGACGAUCCGUAACUGGUCUGAGAGGAUGAUCAGUCACACUGGAACUGAGACACGGUCCAGAGUCCUACGGGAGGCAGCAGUGGGGAAUAUUGGACAAUGGGCGAAAGCCUGAUCCAGCCAUGCCGCGUGUGUGAAGAAGGUCUUCGGAUUGUAAAGCACUUUAAGUUGGGAGGAAGGGCAGUAAGUUAAUACCUUGCUGUUUUGACGUUACCAACAGAAUAAGCACCGGCUAACUUCGUG
RNAcentral lists this ribosomal RNA (484 nucleotides) under uncultured bacterium. RNAcentral describes it as "partial 16S ribosomal RNA". It matches the Rfam family "Bacterial small subunit ribosomal RNA", at positions 30 to 507 of the family's 1533-position model. The record is from RNAcentral.